CCCUUAGAUGUUCUGGGCAGCACGCGCGCUAAAAUGGUCUUCGCAAACGGAUGCAUUCUCGAAGGAGAAUGCCAAUCUUGGAAUCUAUGCCUUGGUCGGGACAGUUGCUUGCAAUUUUUCGACUCGAACCAGGAAUUCCUUGUAAUCGUGAUUCAUCACAUCACGAUGAAUACGUCCCUGCCCUUUGUACACACCGCCCGUCGCUCCUACCGAUCGAAGAGUUAGGUGAAUUGUUUUGAUCGAUAAGAUUUGACUAUGGUCAACUCUCGUUGUGAAAUUCUGUGAAUCUGACUGUUUAGAGGAAGGAAAAGUCGUAACA
RNAcentral lists this ribosomal RNA (319 nucleotides) under uncultured eukaryote. Its description in RNAcentral is "partial 18S ribosomal RNA". It matches the Rfam family "Eukaryotic small subunit ribosomal RNA", at positions 1470 to 1796 of the family's 1831-position model. The record is from RNAcentral.